This is a long non-coding RNA of Gadus morhua (Atlantic cod), 1719 nucleotides long. Lineage: Eukaryota; Metazoa; Chordata; Actinopteri; Gadiformes; Gadidae. The record is from Ensembl.
CAUAAAAUGUAAUUUAACUACAUUCCUCUAGUUGGAAACUUCUAUGGAGAUCAUUCCAUGAGUCAAGAUUUAACAGCAUGAUAUCAUUGACACAAUCCAACAUAUCAUAACGUAACAACAACACACAACUUAGCAUUGCUGAUAAAAUGAUAAUGCUCUUACAGUUAUUGAUUCAUUCUUCUAACCUUGUUUCCUAGAGUUACGCUGCAGUCUUCUAAUUUCUAAGUGGCUUUGUUUAGCGUCUGCUAAUGGCGUGGUUUUGUUCGGAUGCUUGUUUUAUACAUGGUUUGUUUCUAUCCCGGCGGCUUCUAAGGGGCAGGAGAUGGCGUGCAGGUGUUCUGCUCUAGUGGGGUUAUACUGCUGGAUCCAAGACGACUGGUUGUAAGCCUCACUGUCCCUUCGUCUUGCAUACUGACUGGACAAAUAGUAGAUAGUAGUAUUAAGUAAUAAUAGUAAGUAAUAGUAGUAUAUUUCGGAUGGAAAGACUCGUUCAGACAAAGAGACUUAUUUAGACGGACAGACGUAGUUGAGAACAGAAGUUCUCAACUACGCCCUGAAUGGGCGUAGUUAAGGCAACGCCUGCCAAGGGCUGCACUCUUUCUGAAUAAUAGCCGUUGGGCGUUUCACUCAAUACUUUAAGAAACAUUGCAUCCUCACUGACUCAAAGGACACCCGCAGCUCCAACAACACGAGCCAUCAGAGAACCAGCAAGAUCAUCCAGACAUGUUUGGAAAUAAUAAUGCAGGUAGCUGCCAUCCAUCUGGUUAUGACCUGGGGCCCGUGCCAGGGGCCGACCCAUGCCCAGGGGGCGAUCAGGAGGGCCUCGACCUGAGCUUACUUGAUUUUGGAAACGAUGGAAAAAAAGGCGACCGUCAGUGUGACAACCGUGGGUCUGAAGACGACGCCCGGGACAAAGGCCGUUGCCAUGAUGAUGACCGCAGGGAAAGAGACGGUCACCGCGGCGACAAGGACUGCGAUUCCGGUGAUCGUGACGCCGGCCGUCGCCGCGACGAUGAAUGCCGUGAAAAGGGUGGUCGCCGCGACGACUAGCACUGCGAUUCCGGUGAUCGUGACGGCGGCCGUCGCCGCGACGAUGACUGCCGUGAAAAGGGUGGUCGCCGGGACGACAAGCACUGCGAUUCCGGUGAUCGUGAUGCCGACCGUCGCCGCGACGAUGACUGCCGGGACAAAGAGGAUCGCCAUGGCGAUAGAGGAGGCAGAUGCAGCCCCAAACAGCGUGAUGGGAGCCACGAGCGCCACCGCAAAAACAGCAAGAGUCCGGACCACCGUCGCCGAGGCAGUAAAAGCCCUCGCCGUCGCCGAGGCAGCAACAGCCCUCGCCGUCGCCAUGGUAGCGGCCAUGGUAGCGGCCAUGGUAGCGGCAGCGGCAGCGGCAGCGGCAGUAGUGGCAGUGAGAGCGACGGCAACCACGGGCGCAGACGUAAGCACAAGGGCCACAAGCAUGGGCAUGGGCACGGGCACGGGCAUGGGCAUGGGGGUGGUAGGGGAAAGGGCCAUGGUCAUAAGCACUGCUAGAUGUUCCUCAUGAGUCCGAUCUACAGAACGCACAUUUGCACCAAACUAGAUGGUACAUACAUACAGUAAUGGAUGAUUGUAUGCAGAGUAGUUAUGUGGUUAUGUUACACCUUCCUAUUGGAUGAUGUCCUGAGGAAAAUUGUAACUGAAUGACAAUAAUAAUAAAGUCAUAAUCUCACAAUG